This 453-nucleotide ribosomal RNA is filed under the name uncultured organism. RNAcentral's name for it is "partial 16S ribosomal RNA". It matches the Rfam family "Bacterial small subunit ribosomal RNA", at positions 332 to 801 of the family's 1533-position model. The record is from RNAcentral.
UACACUCCUACGGGAGGCAGCAGUGGGGAAUAUUGGACAAUGGGCGCAAGCCUGAUCCAGCCAUGCCGCGUGAGUGAUGAAGGCCCUAGGGUUGUAAAGCUCUUUCACCGGUGAAGAUAAUGACGGUAACCGGAGAAGAAGCCCCGGCUAACUUCGUGCCAGCAGCCGCGGUAAUACGAAGGGGGCUAGCGUUGUUCGGAUUUACUGGGCGUAAAGCGCACGUAGGCGGACUAUUAAGUCAGGGGUGAAAUCCCGGGGCUCAACCCCGGAACUGCCUUUGAUACUGGUAGUCUUGAGUUCGAGAGAGGUGAGUGGAAUUCCGAGUGUAGAGGUGAAAUUCGUAGAUAUUCGGAGGAACACCAGUGGCGAAGGCGGCUCACUGGCUCGAUACUGACGCUGAGGUGCGAAAGCGUGGGGAGCGAACAGGAUUAGAUACCCCAGUAGUCCCAUGAU